Molecule: ribosomal RNA, 449 nt
Filed under: uncultured bacterium
Lineage: Bacteria
Description: partial 16S ribosomal RNA
Rfam family: Bacterial small subunit ribosomal RNA
Source: RNAcentral
UUGCCAGACUCCUACGGGAGGCAGCAGUGGGGGAUAUUGCACAAUGGGGGAAACCCUGAUGCAGCGACGCCGCAUGGGUGAAGAAGCGCCUCGGCGCGUAAAGCCCUGUCAGCAGGGAAGAAAAUGACGGUACCUGAAGAAGAAGCCCCGGCUAACUACGUGCCAGCAGCCGCGGUAAUACGUAGGGGGCAAGCGUUAUCCGGAUUUACUGGGUGUAAAGGGGGCGCAGACGGCGAUGCAAGCCAGGAGUGAAAGCCCGGGGCCCAACCCCGGGACUGCUCUUGGAACUGCGUGGCUAGAGUGCAGGAGGGGCAGGCGGAAUUCCUGGUGUAGCGGUGAAAUGCGUAGAUAUCAGGAGGAACACCGGUGGCGAAGGCGGCCUGCUGGACUGCAACUGGCGUUGAGGCCCGAAAGCGUGGGGAGCAAACAGGAUUAGAUACCCGGGUAAG